Molecule: transfer RNA, 72 nt
Filed under: Sus scrofa (pig)
Lineage: Eukaryota; Metazoa; Chordata; Mammalia; Artiodactyla; Suidae
Rfam family: tRNA
About the family: Transfer RNA (tRNA) molecules are approximately 80 nucleotides in length.
Source: Rfam by way of RNAcentral
UCCCUGGUGGUCUAGUGGUUGUGACCUGGCACUUUCACUGCUGUGGCCAUGGUUCAAUCCCUGGUCUGGGAA